Macaca mulatta (Rhesus monkey) is the source of this 1881-nucleotide non-coding RNA. NCBI's taxonomy places the organism in Eukaryota, Metazoa, Chordata, Mammalia, Primates, Cercopithecidae. The record is from RefSeq and is a predicted model, not a curated record.
UGUUUCCUUGAAAAGUUAAUCAAUGUCUAAGUGAGCCAGUUACAGACCACCUCAGAAGUACAGUGAGGUUGGACUCCCAGCACUUUCCCCCCAAGGUCAUGUCCCUGGGGUCAGAGUGACAGGAAAGUUGCAGUGAGCAACAGAUAUGACCAGAGGGACCUGGGGGCUCUCUUAGUGGUGGGCUGCUGCACUCCUUGUGCAAAGCUCUGGAGUCCAGAUGUAAGGGGCACACCCACAAGGCAUAAUGUGGCCUGGUCCACCAGCACUCCCAGCCAUAGCCCUGCUUUCUUCGGGCCCCAUUAUCACUUUAAAUAGGGGACCUCUGUGCCCACGUCAUCAGGCCUUUUCAUCCUGGGGUUGUCAGCCAGAAGGGACCCCUUCCUUCCUGCAAACAUCUCAAGCAUGUAUGCUGUGCCGGAUCUUUACGAUACUGAGAGGAAGAAAGCGGAUGAGAUCCAGCCCUCAAGCUGCUAAUAGUUGCGAGAAGAGAGGCGAAAAGGCAGUUGCAAUCCAGGGCACUUCAGGGAGCUUCAGCAGGGAUCUGGGGGCUGUGGAGAGCAAAGGUGCAGCCCCGAACACAACCUUGGGGAUCGGGGAGGCCACUCAGAGGAGAAUGAUGAAGUCUGAGCAGAACCUGGAAGGGAGAUAGGGAGUUACCAGCUUGGUGAGUGUGGUAAUCUCCAAAACAUCUGCAUCCUAAUCACUGGAACCUAUCAAUGUCACCAUAUGCGGCAUACAGAACAUUGCAGAUGUGACUGAAUUAAGGAUUUUGAGGACACUGGAUCACACCCCAAGAGAAAGGGGAGCUCCAAUGGAAAAGCCAUCUGCACCAUGAUGCUGCCUGUUACUUGACUGAGCGUUCCUGCUGCCCAGAAGCUCCUGUUGUCCUCCCAACUGAUGGGAUGCUCUUGGACAGUGAUGCCAGCUGGAAUUAAGAUUGGGUUUCCAAGGCCACUGUGACCAGCAUGAUUAAUAGUCUGAUGCGACAUGGAACAUCUCAGGGAAGUGCCUUGCUGGCUUCGCCCACCUGGAGCCUCAGGUGAAGUCUCAGGUGGGAGAUGUUGAUUUGAGAGGCCUGGGUAUAAAAGUAAUCCCAAGAAAUCACACGAUAGAAUAAUUUCUCUGAGGCACAAAGAGGGAGAAAAAUAAGAACAGAGCCCCUUAGCAGGGCACUCACAAUAAGAAGAAUUAGGAAAAGAAAAGGGAACCUGGGGUGACACAAAACUGGGGGAGUCUGUUAUCACAAGGUAGACGGCUACCUCCAGUUGGACAAAUUUCCAUGGACCACCAUGCAAUUUCUGGAGAUGCCACCUUUGAUCCCCUCUUCUCCCUUUGCUCCUCCCCCAUCUCCACACCCAAAGUGCACAUUAUUCAGAUGUCUAUCUGCCCCUAAAUCAACUUGACUUCUGUUGUUCCUUGGCAGAUUCGAGGACCAGCCUUCAUUGGAGUUGGGGUGGAAGCUACACACUUGUAUCAAAGGUUGUAAUCCCAAGUCUGGUCCUGUUUUCUGCGAACAAUAUAAUUGUAAACACAUUGAAUGUGCCUGAAUGGGAUUCACAUAACCUAUUCAAAGGUUAAUAUCACAAGACUGAUAGUGAGCUGGAAGCUCUGAAAUGUAUUUGUGCUCAGGGAAGAUAUUUGCUAAUGUUUGGCUUUUAUUUCCCCUGGAACUUGUACACGUCAGUGAGGCCUGGAGAUAAUGAAUAACAGCAUGGACAAUAAAUUUUAAAACAAACAAAAUAAAAACUCAAAGAACAUUAAUGUAGACCAGUGCUAGGAUAUGAUGUGUGUUACAAGAGAGCAAUGAUUACUCCUUGGUGAGCAGAUUCUAUUAUCUGCUUCUUAGGAGCAGUAGGUGGCUGCCUCUUGAUUGUAUUAGUC